This 404-nucleotide ribosomal RNA is filed under the name uncultured bacterium. Its description in RNAcentral is "bacterial SSU rRNA". It matches the Rfam family "Bacterial small subunit ribosomal RNA", at positions 355 to 776 of the family's 1533-position model. The record is from RNAcentral.
UGGGGAAUCUUGGACAAUGGGGGCAACCCUGAUCCAGCCAUGCCGCGUGAGCGAUGAAGGCCUUAGGGUUGUAAAGCUCUUUCAGCGGGGAAGAUAAUGACGGUACCCGCAGAAGAAGCCCCGGCUAACUCCGUGCCAGCAGCCGCGGUAAUACGGAGGGGGCUAGCGUUGUUCGGAAUUACUGGGCGUAAAGCGCACGUAGGCGGGCAUUUAAGUCGGGGGUGAAAUCCCGGGGCUCAACCCCGGAACUGCCUUCGAUACUGGGUGCCUGGAGGAUGGGAGAGGCGAGUGGAAUUCCGAGUGUAGAGGUGAAAUUCGUAGAUAUUCGGAGGAACACCAGUGGCGAAGGCGGCUCGCUGGCCCAUUUCUGACGCUGAGGUGCGAAAGCGUGGGGAGCAAACAGG